Long non-coding RNA from Carya illinoinensis, 466 nucleotides. RefSeq lists it as uncharacterized. NCBI's taxonomy places the organism in Eukaryota, Viridiplantae, Streptophyta, Magnoliopsida, Fagales, Juglandaceae. The transcript has 2 exons. The record is from RefSeq and is a predicted model, not a curated record.
AAACAGAACUCUAGAAAACGCAGAAGAGGAGAUCUGAGUGGGAGAAGAGACAUAUGAGAAGAGACAAACCCAUUUCGGCUGGAACUGGAGCAUUUCGGCUGGAGCGUUUCCUAUGGACCAUUUUGAAUGGAAAAUCUGAGCUGGCUCUCUAGCUUCUGGAGGACUUGGAAAAGUGCUUUGUUGUGCAGUUUUACCAGUGCUGUAAUUUCCUCAUCGCAUUCACCAGCGUUUAUUGCCCUAGCCGCUGGUCUGCAACCCAAUGGCCCCAAGUAUAAAAAUGCAAAUUUUCUUCCUCCUUCCUUGUGCAUUCCCUGAGACAUCAUAUCAUCAAAGUAUGUUUGUGGCCGAGUUAAAAAUCGAGAAGAGAGAGAGAGAGAGAGAGAGAGAGAGAGAGAGAGAGAAUAAUAUAAAACAAUUUUUGUUUCAAAUAGUCGGUACGAAUGCAAGUGUUGUUACUUUGAUCACA